GCCCCGCCCUCCACGCCGUGGUGAAUUGCAGUGUUCUGAGCAGGGGUUCUCCGCAGGGCUUUUCUAGCUGAGGUGUUGGCACCAGGGUUCUGCACCAGGAACUUGAACCUGACCUGGUAGAUGCAAGACCUCUGUAUGUGCCCCCCUAUAGGUGUUCUCAGCCAAGCAAGAACCUAAAAUGGUAGAGGAAAAACUACCAUUCUCCUAACACCUUCCAAAGAAUGUUUAUAUUUUAGAAGAUAUUAAUAACAUAAAGCACUGCUGCCCUUGCCAAAGGAUAAUGACCUCAUGAGUGGCAUGUGUGCAAAGAAGCUGACGAGGUGAUAACCCACUGGAGGGAAGUUGCAAGUCCUGAAGGAAAGAAGUGGUAAAAUAUACACACUGUAGAGUCUGAAUUCUCCCAUCACAGAGAGUGACUGGGAUGGUCCAGUUUCGAUGUUCCUGGAUAUAUAUUGAAGCAGAGCAGGAAAGCAGUUUAAGCAGCUGGAUUUCUGCUGCCUUUGGCCAAGGGGCUGGUAAGGAUGGGAUAUCAACCACCAGUGGAGCCAUGGAAAGAGAAGGACAGCAGAGGGAAGUUGAAGAAUUAGGGAAGACUGGUCAAAAAGGAAAGCAAGCUGAUACUGGACUAGCCAUUUUCAUCUUCCAUAAAACAGAAGAGGAGGCAAGAGGGGAGGAGCGCAAAAACCAGAAAAGACUCUUAGCAGACAUCCUGGAGUUGCCAGGAUGGAAUCAGUGUUGUUUCUGUGGAAAUACCUUAGUCUUGGUUCUCUGAAAAAUGGAGUCUUUGGAACUGGUGAAGUUAUUGUUGGGGUUUUUUUUUUCCUGAUGAGAAGCAUUUGUCUUUAAGGUUUGUUGGUUUUCAGGAAACAAAUAGUAAAGUAUAUACACCAUGGAGUCUGAAUUCUCCUUUCAGAGUGUGAAUGUGAUGGUCC
Sus scrofa (pig) is the source of this 932-nucleotide non-coding RNA. The record is from RefSeq and is a predicted model, not a curated record. Lineage: Eukaryota; Metazoa; Chordata; Mammalia; Artiodactyla; Suidae.